GGGUUGUGAGGUUAAGCGACUAAGCGUACACGGUGGAUGCCCUGGCAGUCAGAGGCGAUGAAGGACGUGCUAAUCUGCGAUAAGCGUCGGUAAGGUGAUAUGAACCGUUAUAACCGGCGAUUUCCGAAUGGGGAAACCCAGUGUGWUUCGWCACACUAUCAUUAACUGAAUCCAUAGGUUAAUGAGGCGAACCGGGGGAACUGAAACAUCUAAGUACCCCGAGGAAAAGAAAUCAACCGAGAUUCCCCCAGUAGCGGCGAGCGAACGGGGAGCAGCCCAGAGCCUGAAUCAGUGUGUGUGUUAGUGGAAGCGUCUGGAAAGGCGCGCGAUACAGGGUGACAGCCCCGUACACAAAAAURCACAURCUGUGAGCUCGAUGAGUAGGGCGGGACACGUGGUAUCCUGUCUGAAUAUGGGGGGACCAUCCUCCAAGGCUAAAUACUCCUGACUGACCGAUAGUGAACCAGUACCGUGAGGGAAAGGCGAAAAGAACCCCGGCGAGGGGAGUGAAAAAGAACCUGAAACCGUGUACGUACAAGCAGUGGGAGCACGCUUAGGCGUGUGACUGCGUACCUUUUGUAUAAUGGGUCAGCGACUUAUAUUCUGUAGCAAGGUUAACCGAAUAGGGGAGCCGAAGGGAAACCGAGUCUUAACUGGGCGUUAAGUUGCAGGGUAUAGACCCGAAACCCGGUGAUCUAGCCAUGGGCAGGUUGAAGGUUGGGUAACACUAACUGGAGGACCGAACCGACUAAUGUUGAAAAAUUAGCGGAUGACUUGUGGCUGGGGGUGAAAGGCCAAUCAAACCGGGAGAUAGCUGGUUCUCCCCGAAAGCUAUUUAGGUAGCGCCUCGUGAAUUCAUCUCCGGGGGUAGAGCACUGUUUCGGCAAGGGGGUCAUCCCGACUUACCAACCCGAUGCAAACUGCGAAUACCGGAGAAUGUUAUCACGGGAGACACACGGCGGGUGCUAACGUCCGUCGUGAAGAGGGAAACAACCCAGACCGCCAGCUAAGGUCCCAAAGUCAUGGUUAAGUGGGAAACGAUGUGGGAAGGCCCAGACAGCCAGGAUGUUGGCUUAGAAGCAGCCAUCAUUUAAAGAAAGCGUAAUAGCUCACUGGUCGAGUCGGCCUGCGCGGAAGAUGUAACGGGGCUAAACCAUGCACCGAAGCUGCGGCAGCGACRCUUAUGYGUUGUUGGGUAGGGGAGCGUUCUGUAAGCCUGYGAAGGUGURCUGUGAGGYAUGCUGGAGGUAUCAGAAGUGCGAAUGCUGACAUAAGUAACGAUAAAGCGGGUGAAAAGCCCGCUCGCCGGAAGACCAAGGGUUCCUGUCCAACGUUAAUCGGGGCAGGGUGAGUCGACCCCUAAGGCGAGGCCGAAAGGCGUAGUCGAUGGGAAACAGGUUAAUAUUCCUGUACUUGGUGUUACUGCGAAGGGGGGACGGAGAAGGCUAUGUUGGCCGGGCGACGGUUGUCCCGGUUUAAGCGUGUAGGCUGGUUUUCCAGGCAAAUCCGGAAAAUCAAGGCUGAGGCGUGAUGACGAGGCACUACGGUGCUGAAGCAACAAAUGCCCUGCUUCCAGGAAAAGCCUCUAAGCAUCAGGUAACAUCAAAUCGUACCCCAAACCGACACAGGUGGUCAGGUAGAGAAUACCAAGGCGCUUGAGAGAACUCGGGUGAAGGAACUAGGCAAAAUGGUGCCGUAACUUCGGGAGAAGGCACGCUGAUAUGUAGGUGAAGUCCCUCGCGGAUGGAGCUGAAAUCAGUCGAAGAUACCAGCUGGCUGCAACUGUUUAUUAAAAACACAGCACUGUGCAAACACGAAAGUGGACGUAUACGGUGUGACGCCUGCCCGGUGCCGGAAGGUUAAUUGAUGGGGUYAGCGCAAGCGAAGCUCUUGAUCGAAGCCCCGGUAAACGGCGGCCGUAACUAUAACGGUCCUAAGGUAGCGAAAUUCCUUGUCGGGUAAGUUCCGACCUGCACGAAUGGCGUAAUGAUGGCCAGGCUGUCUCCACCCGAGACUCAGUGAAAUUGAACUCGCUGUGAAGAUGCAGUGUACCCGCGGCAAGACGGAAAGACCCCGUGAACCUUUACUAUAGCUUGACACUGAACAUUGAGCCUUGAUGUGUAGGAUAGGUGGGAGGCUUWGAAGUGUGGACGCCAGUCUGCAUGGAGCCGRCCUUGAAAUACCACCCUUUAAUGUUUGAUGUUCUAACGUKGACCCGURAUCCGGGUUGCGGACAGUGUCUGGUGGGUAGUUUGACUGGGGCGGUCUCCUCCUAAAGAGUAACGGAGGAGCACGAAGGUUGGCUAAUCCUGGUCGGACAUCAGGAGGUUAGUGCAAUGGCAUAAGCCAGCUUGACUGCGAGCGUGACGGCGCGAGCAGGUGCGAAAGCAGGUCAUAGUGAUCCGGUGGUUCUGAAUGGAAGGGCCAUCGCUCAACGGAUAAAAGGUACUCCGGGGAUAACAGGCUGAUACCGCCCAAGAGUUCAUAUCGACGGCGGUGUUUGGCACCUCGAUGUCGGCUCAUCACAUCCUGGGGCUGAAGUAGGUCCCAAGGGUAUGGCUGUUCGCCAUUUAAAGUGGUACGCGAGCUGGGUUUAGAACGUCGUGAGACAGUUCGGUCCCUAUCUGCCGUGGGCGCUGGAGAAYUGAGGGGGGCUGCUCCUAGUACGAGAGGACCGGAGUGGACGCAUCACUGGUGUUCGGGUUGUCAUGCCAAUGGCACUGCCCGGUAGCUAAAUGCGGAAGAGAUAAGUGCUGAAAGCAUCUAAGCACGAAACUUGCCCCGAGAUGAGUUCUCCCUGACYCYUURAGRGUCCUGAAGGAACGUUGAAGACGACGACGUUGAUAGGCCGGRUGUGUAAGCGCAGCGAUGCGUUGAGCUAACCGGUACUAAUGAACCGUGAGGCUUAACCUUACAACGCCGAAGGUGUUU
Molecule: ribosomal RNA, 2931 nt
Filed under: Escherichia coli
Lineage: Bacteria; Pseudomonadati; Pseudomonadota; Gammaproteobacteria; Enterobacterales; Enterobacteriaceae
Description: 23S ribosomal RNA
Rfam family: Bacterial large subunit ribosomal RNA
Source: RNAcentral